AACGAACGCUGGCGGCAGGCUUAACACAUGCAAGUCGAACGGAUCCUUCGGGAUUAGUGGCAGACGGGUGAGUAACGCGUGGGAACGUACCCUUUGCUACGGAAUAACUCAGGGAAACUUGAGCUAAUACCGUAUGUGCCCUACGGGGGAAAGAUUUAUCGGCAAAGGAUCGGCCCGCGUUGGAUUAGCUAGUUGGUGGGGUAAUGACCUACCAAGGCGACGAUCCAUAGCUGGUCUGAGAGGAUGAUCAGCCACACUGGGACUGAGACACGGCCCAGACUCCUACGGGAGGCAGCAGUGGGGAAUAUUGGAAAAUGGGCGCAAGCCUGAUCCAGCCAUGCCGCGUGAGUGAUGAAGGUCUUAGGAUUGUAAAGCUCUUUCACCGGUGAAGAUAAUGACGGUAGCCGGAGAAGAAGCCCCGGCUAACUUCGUG
RNAcentral lists this ribosomal RNA (433 nucleotides) under uncultured bacterium. RNAcentral's name for it is "partial 16S ribosomal RNA". It matches the Rfam family "Bacterial small subunit ribosomal RNA", at positions 29 to 507 of the family's 1533-position model. The record is from RNAcentral.